Molecule: ribosomal RNA, 1118 nt
Filed under: Raphidia ligurica
Lineage: Eukaryota; Metazoa; Arthropoda; Insecta; Raphidioptera; Raphidiidae
Description: eukaryotic LSU rRNA
Rfam family: Eukaryotic large subunit ribosomal RNA (bases 372-1118)
Source: RNAcentral
CCCGAAAGGUCGAAGGCGGAGAUUCAACUGUCUGAUCGUAUUGUGUCGGCGUCGUCGGGGCGCAAAUUUACUUUGCUAAACUGAGACGGUGGCGCGCGUGCGUUUUCUCGUAAAGCGUACCGCGUUUCGCUCGGCCCCGACGCACGAGACCUGACCGCGAAGGCAUGCACUUCUCCGUCUGUAGGACGUCGCGACCCGUUGGGCGUCGGUCUAAGGCCCGUCGUGGCGACUGUUCUCGCGCUUCGGCGUCGAGUGACAGACCGACGGUGUUCACUUUCCCGGCCGUGCGCCCGACGGUAUAAUCGAACGGACGGCGUUGGGUCGCGUCACUCGUGACGCGUUCGAUCGUCCGCAAGUGCGUGCGCGUCAGUCGAUUUCGUAUCGCCGGCGGUCGGACCUGGUGCCGGCCCCGGACGCGCAUCACUGUUUGCGUUGUGCGAAACUCGAACAGGCCCGAGUCGCGCGCCUCCGGCGCGCGGCGCGCCGCGUCGGCGACGCUAUAGCUUUGGGUACUUUCAGGACCCGUCUUGAAACACGGACCAAGGAGUCUAGCAUGUGCGCGAGUCACUGAGAUUUACACUAGACUCAAAGGCGCAAUGAAAGUGAAGGCACGUCGAAUCGACGGUAGCCGAGGGAGGAUCGGUCGCGCUUCCGUCAGACGAACGCGCGGCCGCGCACUCCCGGGGCGUCUCGUUCUCAUUGCGAGUUGAGGCGCACCCAGAGCGUACACGCUGGGACCCGAAAGAUGGUGAACUAUGCCUGGUCAGGACGAAGUCAGGGGAAACCCUGAUGGAGGUCCGUAGCGAUUCUGACGUGCAAAUCGAUCGUCGGAACUGGGUAUAGGGGCGAAAGACUAAUCGAACCAUCUAGUAGCUGGUUCCCUCCGAAGUUUCCCUCAGGAUAGCUGGCGCUCGCGUUCGCACGGCGCGCGUUUGCGCGCGCGCCGUUCGCGUUCACGAGUCUCAUCUGGUAAAGCGAAUGAUUAGAGGCCUUGGGGCCGAAACGACCUCAACCUAUUCUCAAACUUUAAAUGGGUGAGAUCUCCGGCUUGCUCGAAUUGAAUUUUUUAUGAAGCCGCGAGAUAAUUAUGGAUCGAGAGUGCCAAGUGGGCCACUUUU